AAAUGCAGGCUGCCUCCUCAUCUCUACACACUGAGCUCCUGCUCACCAAUCCUCCAGGUGACCCUCAGCCAUGAACACUUGUCCUCCUCUCUGCUGUUGUCCUGCUGGCCUUCCUGGCCCAGGCUGAUCCUCUGCCAGCACCAAAUGAGGAGACUAAAACUGAGGAGCAGCCAGGGGUAGAGGACCAGGAUGUGACCAUCUCCUUUGGAGGCCCAGCAGGGCUUUCUCUUCAGGAUGCAGGCUCAAGAAAGGUCUCAACAUGUUACUGCAGAAGAUCCUGCAGAAAUUCAGAACGUCCCACUGGAGUCUGCUUCGGAUUUCUAACACGCCGCAUUUUCUGCUGCGACUGAGCAUGGAGACCAGAGACAAGAUGACCAUGUAUUCUGAAACCUUGUGACCUCUCAUUCCCCUUGUACUUAGCCUCAAUUGUUUUUCUUUCUCCAAUAAAUUUCUUGCAGAAAAAAAAUA
Long non-coding RNA from Meriones unguiculatus (Mongolian gerbil), 468 nucleotides. RefSeq lists it as uncharacterized. The record is from RefSeq and is a predicted model, not a curated record. NCBI's taxonomy places the organism in Eukaryota, Metazoa, Chordata, Mammalia, Rodentia, Muridae. The transcript is spliced from 2 exons.